Molecule: long non-coding RNA, 309 nt
Organism: Parambassis ranga (Indian glassy fish)
Lineage: Eukaryota; Metazoa; Chordata; Actinopteri; Ambassidae
Source: Ensembl
CAUGGUAGAUUGAGAAGUAGUUUAUGUCGUUACUAAGCAGCGAGAACGGGCUGGUUUGCUAAGUAUUGGAAGGAAAUAACAAGCAUGAGCACAAGCGUUUCGAAUUGAUUUUUUUAAAUACACACUACUAGUUAUUAUCGACAAAUUUUUGUCGCCACACUGGCUUCGUCAAGUGACGUUCGAGAAAAGCUGCGAAAAAAACAACGUGAUCUACAAGACACGUUAGUAAAAAACAAACACGAAGACGACGUUCAGGCUCUGGUUCCACCCACCAAGUUGACUGAGGACCGGCGGAAAACAACAAUGAAG